RNAcentral lists this ribosomal RNA (327 nucleotides) under uncultured Methanomicrobiales archaeon. Its description in RNAcentral is "bacterial SSU rRNA". It matches the Rfam family "Archaeal small subunit ribosomal RNA", at positions 1015 to 1338 of the family's 1478-position model. The record is from RNAcentral. Lineage: Archaea; Methanobacteriati; Methanobacteriota; Methanomicrobia; Methanomicrobiales.
UGUGAAGCAUCCUGUUAAGUCAGGCAACGAGCGAGACCCACGCCAACAGUUGCCAGCUCGGUCCUCCGGGAUGGUGGGGACGACUGUUGGGACCGCCUCUGCUAAAGGAGGAGGAAGGAAUGGGCAACGGUAGGUCAGCAUGCCCCGAAUUAUCUGGGCUACACGCGGGCUACAAUGGGUGGGACAAUGGGUAUCGACACCGAAAGGUGAAGGCAAUCUCCUAAACCCAUCCGUAGUUCGGAUUGUGGGCUGCAACUCGCCCACAUGAAGCUGGAAUCUGUAGUAAUCGUGUCUCAAAAUGGCACGGUGAAUAUGUCCCUGCUCCUU